This 493-nucleotide ribosomal RNA is filed under the name uncultured bacterium. Its description in RNAcentral is "partial 16S ribosomal RNA". It matches the Rfam family "Bacterial small subunit ribosomal RNA", at positions 29 to 507 of the family's 1533-position model. The record is from RNAcentral.
ACGCACGCUGGCUGCGUGCUUAACACCUGCCAGCCGAACGGUGAGGCGCCUUCCUUUUUGGUGGGUGUGGAUGAGUGGCGAACGGGUGAGUAACACGUGAGUAACCUGCCCCCUUCUUCUGGAUAACCGCAUGAAAGUGUGGCUAAUACGGGAUAUUCUGGGUCUGUCGCAUGAUGGGUCUGGGAAAGAUAUUGUUUCGGUGGGGGAUGGGCUCGCGGCCUAUCAGCUUGUUGGUGGGGUGAUGGCCUACCAAGGCGGUGACGGGUAGCCGGCCUGAGAGGGUGGACGGUCACACUGGGACUGAGACACGGCCCAGACUCCUACGGGAGGCAGCAGUGGGGAAUAUUGCACAAUGGGCGCAAGCCUGAUGCAGCGACGCCGCGUGAGGGAUGGAGGCCUUCGGGUUGUGAACCUCUUUCGCCAGUGAAGCAGGCCUGCCUCGUUUGUGGGUGGGUUGACGGUAGCUGGAUAAGAAGCGCCGGCUAACUACGUG